UUCUCCGUCAACGUGGAUAAGAUUUGGUCUAACUGCUGCUUACAAAGAACCGAAAUUUAGGCUCCAUUCAUCCAUGGAGCUUUGCAAUUUGUUCUUCAUCACCACUCCCGUAAAAUCCACAUUUCCGAAUCUCAAAUCUCGUUCAGUAAAAUGCUCGGCGGAGACGACGACUCACCGACUCAAACUCGCGGAGUCACUCCAGGACGAGACGUUGAAGAUUCUUGAAUGGCCGUCUGUAUGCAACCAGGUCUCCGCCUUCACUUCCACCACCAUGGGCUUUUCGGCUGCUCGAGAUGGUCUGCUUCCUAUAGGACGGAGCCCUGAGGAGACCCGGAGGCUCCUGGAUCAGACGUCCGCGGCAUUUGCGCUUUAUCUGCCGCCGGAUUUCUCUGGAAUUGAAGACGUUUCGGAGAUUGUUGAGUCGUCAGUUGCUGGUCAGUUGCUUUCAAUAAGAGAGAUUUGUGCGGUAAAACGGACUUUGCGAUCCGCUAGGGAAUUGUUUGAACAGUUGACGAAGAGUUCUCUGCAAUCAGAAAGGUACUAUCCUCUGCUUGAAAUUUUUCAGAAUUGCCAUUUUUUAACGGACCUGAAGAAAAAAAUAGAGUUCUGUAUAGACUGUAAGCUCUCAACUAUACUUGAUAGGGCCAGUGAAGAUUUGGAGAUUAUUAGGUCAGAAAGAAAGGAAAACAUGGAGAGUCUGGACUGUCUAUUGAAAGAGGUAUCAACUAAGAUUUUCCUGGCUGGGGGUAUUGACAGACCAAUUGUAACUAAACGUCGGUCAAGGAUGUGUGUUGCUAUAAGGGCUUCUCAUAAAUCGUUGCUGCCAAGUGGUGUUGUUUUGAAUGUUAGCAGCUCGGGAGCAACAUACUUCAUGGAACCCAAAGAGGCAGUGGACUUGAACAACAUGGAAGUCAGGCUUUUAAAUGCUGAAAGGGCUGAGGAGCAAGCCAUUUUGGGCUUGCUCUCAUCUGAAAUUGCACAAUCGGAGUCAGAAAUUAAGUAUUUGUUAGGUAGAGUUCUGGAAGCUGAUUUUGCAAUUGCAAGAGCUGCUCAUGCUCGGUGGAUGAAUGGGGUAUGCCCAGUUCUAAGCUCCAGUGGUUUUAAGAAUGUUGGUUUGAGUGGCUCUGGUUCUUUUUCAAUUGAUAUUGAAGGUAUACAACAUCCGUUGCUUCUUGAGGCCUCUCUGAAAAGUUUGUCAGGUCCAACAUCCAAAACUAGUAACUCAGUUAUUUGGUGCGAGUUAAAUGGAACGAUAGGCCACAUGUCUUCUGAUUCUUUGCCUUUUCCUGUUCCUAUUGACAUCAAAGUUGAACAUGAAACAAGGGUAGUUGUGAUCUCUGGACCUAACACUGGGGGAAAAACUGCUUCCAUGAAAACAUUAGGAUUGGCAUCUAUUAUGCUGAAGGCUGGCAUGUAUUUACCUGCUAGAAAUCACGCAACCCUUCCAUGGUUUGAUUUUAUUCUGGCAGAUAUUGGAGACCACCAGUCUCUGGAACAAAGCCUCUCAACUUUUAGCGGUCAUCUCACACGGAUUUGUAAGAUGUUGGAAGUGACCACUAAACAGUCACUCAUUCUUAUUGAUGAGAUUGGCAGUGGGACUGAUCCAUCAGAAGGUGUGGCGCUUUCGACCAGUAUAUUGGAGUAUGUGAAGGAUAGAGUCAACUUAGCCGUGACAACCACACAUUAUGCAGAUUUAUCUCUCUUGAAAGAGAAGGAUCCUCAAUAUGAGAAUGCAGCAAUGGAGUUCUCUUUGGAGACUUUACAACCUACCUACAGGAUACUUUGGGGAAGCACAGGGGAAUCAAAUGCAUUAAGUAUUGCUAAAUCGAUAGGUUUUGAUGAAAAAAUAGUUGGACGUGCACAAACAUGGGUGAAGAGAUUAAUGCCAGAUAAGGCAGAGAAGCGGAGAGGUUUGCUCUUUCAGUCGCUAAUGGAAGAAAAAAACAGAUUAGAAGUUCAGGCAAAAAGAGCCGCACAUAUAUAUUCAAACACCAUGAAUCUUUAUCAUGAGUUACCCAUCUUUAACAUAUCUGUCUACUGUUUACGUUUAUCCUUGCGAAGAUCCGGGAUGAGGCAGAUGAUCUUGCCAGGCGUGAGGAAGCUCUUAAGGCUAAGGAAACUCAGAAUAUCCAAAGAGAAGUAAUCACCGUGAAGUCUCGGUUACAGACGAUAGUGGAUGAUUUUGAAGCUCAAGUUAAAACUGCUGGUAUUGAUCAGCUUAAUGCACUUCUUAAGGAAUCUGAAUCUGCCAUUGCAUCAGUUAUUGAAGCUCACAGUUAUGCCGAAGAAUCUUCUGUCACAGAAGCAAAAAAUUCUUCUCUUACAUUAAAGCUGGGGGAGCAAGUGCUUGUGAGCGGAUUAGGAAAUAAACUGGCAACUAUAGUUGAGGCACCUGGAACUGAUGGCACUGCUCUUGUCCAAUAUGGAAAAAUUAGGGUCCGGGUGAAUUUAAGUAGUAUAAGAGCUGUUCCGAGUAGUGAUAUGACUCCGGCGGAAAAUUCACAAUUAAACUUCAAAAAGCAGGGUCGGAGGAUCAGAAGCCUUAAGAAUUUAUCAGAGGCCAGCAAUAGUAAAGAGGUUUCUUAUGGACUAGUGCUACAGACAUCAAAGAACACUGUUGAUUUACGUGGUAUGAGAGUGGAGGAAGCGUCUCACCACCUUAACUUGGCUAUUAGUACAAAUGGGUCUAACUCGGUUCUCUUUAUCAUUCAUGGGAUGGGUACUGGCGUUGUGAAGGAGUCCGCACAACAAAUAUUAAGAAAGCAUCCGCGUGUUGUCAAGUUUGAACAGGAAAGUCCAACUAAUUAUGGCUGUACAGUUGCUUACAUCAAAUGAAUAUACUAUAUGUAAUUUCUAGUUUAUAUAUGAAAGAGAAUUUGAUAAAAGUAUAUGGCAAACCGUUUCUAAGAUGUACUUAGCUUUCCUCUCUCCUUAAAUAUUGAUUAUCAGUGGAAGUUGAAUAAUUGCAAGAUUUGAUGUUCCUGUAUUAAUCUAGACUGUACAUGUAUCAGAUAGUUGUACUUGGCUCAGUACUUGUAAUGCAGUCUUGUGAACUGUUAAUAAAUGAUGAUAUUCUCU
Cynara cardunculus var. scolymus (artichoke) is the source of this 3078-nucleotide RNA transcript. It is a transcript of the gene named endonuclease MutS2, with no coding region annotated. NCBI's taxonomy places the organism in Eukaryota, Viridiplantae, Streptophyta, Magnoliopsida, Asterales, Asteraceae. The transcript is spliced from 5 exons. The record is from RefSeq and is a predicted model, not a curated record.